UACGGAGGAUGCGAGCGUUAUCCGGAUUUAUUGGGUUUAAAGGGUGCGUAGGCGGACUGUCAAGUCAGCGGUAAAAUUGAGAGGCUCAACCUCUUCCCGCCUUUGAAACUGGUGGUCUUGAGUGGAUGAGAAGUACGCGGAAUGCAUGGUGUAGCGGUGAAAUGCAUAGAUAUCACGCAGAACUCCGAUUGCGAAGGCAGCGUACCGGCAUCCAACUGACGCUGAGGCACGAAAGCGUGGGGAGCAAACAGG
This 252-nucleotide ribosomal RNA is filed under the name uncultured bacterium. RNAcentral's name for it is "partial 16S ribosomal RNA". It matches the Rfam family "Bacterial small subunit ribosomal RNA", at positions 524 to 776 of the family's 1533-position model. The record is from RNAcentral.